GGGGAGGAGCCCAGAGCCUGAAUCAGUGUGUGUGUUAGUGGAAGCGUCUGGAAAGGCGCGCGAUACAGGGUGACAGCCCCGUACACAAAAAUGCACAUGCUGUGAGCUCGAUGAGUAGGGCGGGACACGUGGUAUCCUGUCUGAAUAUGGGGGGACCAUCCUCCAAGGCUAAAUACUCCUGACUGACCGAUAGUGAACCAGUACCGUGAGGGAAAGGCGAAAAGAACCCCGGCGAGGGGAGUGAAAAAGAACCUGAAACCGUGUACGUACAAGCAGUGGGAGCACGCUUAGGCGUGUGACUGCGUACCUUUUGUAUAAUGGGUCAGCGACUUAUAUUCUGUAGCAAGGUUAACCGAAUAGGGGAGCCGAAGGGAAACCGAGUCUUAACUGGGCGUUAAGUUGCAGGGUAUAGACCCGAAACCCGGUGAUCUAGCCAUGGGCAGGUUGAAGGUUGGGUAACACUAACUGGAGGACCGAACCGACUAAUGUUGAAAAAUUAGCGGAUGACUUGUGGCUGGGGGUGAAAGGCCAAUCAAACCGGGAGAUAGCUGGUUCUCCCCGAAAGCUAUUUAGGUAGCGCCUCGUGAAUUCAUCUCCGGGGGUAGAGCACUGUUUCGGCAAGGGGGUCAUCCCGACUUACCAACCCGAUGCAAACUGCGAAUACCGGAGAAUGUUAUCACGGGAGACACACGGCGGGUGCUAACGUCCGUCGUGAAGAGGGAAACAACCCAGACCGCCAGCUAAGGUCCCAAAGUCAUGGUUAAGUGGGAAACGAUGUGGGAAGGCCCAGACAGCCAGGAUGUUGGCUUAGAAGCAGCCAUCAUUUAAAGAAAGCGUAAUAGCUCACUGGUCGAGUCGGCCUGCGCGGAAGAUGUAACGGGGCUAAACCAUG
Molecule: ribosomal RNA, 892 nt
Filed under: Escherichia coli
Lineage: Bacteria; Pseudomonadati; Pseudomonadota; Gammaproteobacteria; Enterobacterales; Enterobacteriaceae
Description: partial 23S ribosomal RNA
Rfam family: Bacterial large subunit ribosomal RNA
Source: RNAcentral